Molecule: ribosomal RNA, 326 nt
Filed under: uncultured eukaryote
Lineage: Eukaryota
Description: partial 18S ribosomal RNA
Rfam family: Eukaryotic small subunit ribosomal RNA
Source: RNAcentral
CCCUUAGAUGUUCUGGGCUGCACGCGCGCUACACUGAUGCGCUCAACGAGUUUACGACCUUGCCCGGAAGGGUUGGGUAAUCUUUUUAAAACGCAUCGUGAUGGGGAUAGAUUAUUGCAAUUAUUAAUCUUUAACGAGGAAUUCCUAGUAAGCGCGAGUCAUCAGCUCGUGCUGAUUACGUCCCUGCCCUUUGUACACACCGCCCGUCGCUCCCACCGAUUGAGUGAUCCGGUGAAUAAUUCGGACUGCAGCAGUGUUCAGUUCCUGAACGUUGCAGCGGAAAGUUUAGUGAACCUUAUCACUUAGAGGAAGGAGAAGUCGUAACA